GCCCAUUCAGAUCCUGUCCCAAUGCCCACCUGUGGUAACACCUUCCUUUCUCUCAACCUGGCCUUUCUCACCCACAAGGUGGGAAUGGUGAUUUCCACCUCUCGGGAGAAGAGAGAAUGGGCCCGGAUCUGAGGGGCAUUAACAGGGGAGCAGAGUCUUACUGUGUCAAAUUCUAUCUUGUCCGUGACCUUUGGCGGGCUAUGUGCUGGCACGGAGAGGAAGUUGGAGCGAGGUGUCUGGACCAUGGCGAGGAAAUGGAUCAAUUCUUGCCCUCGUGUUCACUGAAUGAAGUAACUUACAGCCCCAGCUUUGCAGCCAGACAGAGCCCUGGGCAAGUUACCCUGGCCUCGGAGCCCCCACACCUGACACCCCACGUGUUCUCAGCUGUAACGUGGGUUGCAGACACCCGUGUUGCCAAUGUUAUUACCAUGAUUGUUGUUUUCUUCCACUGGCAGAUGCACAGGAAAUGGCUCUCUCUGCUGAACUGAGCACCUCUGGGGCUCCUUCCUGGCCUGGGGUUUCUUUGAGACAGGCCCAGGAGAGUGACAGCCGGGCCUGAGAGGGAAGGACAGGCUGUGACUCACAAAGGUGCAGGAGUCCUCUCCCCGGGUUCACCGGGAGCUGACGGGCUAGGCCGUGGGAGGCCUUGAGACCAAGCUCCGACUUUGGAGAUGGGCCAGGCUUGGCUGGGCGCCUCCAGUGGUUUUGAACAGGGGGCGCCAUGAGUUAACUGGUGCUUUCAGAAAGCUAAACCUGGCAGCAAGUGGCUUCUUCAGAGAAGGGACUCACCCAACAUCAGAAUGUUUACCAAAAUCAAUCACGCGGUGGGCCAUAGAGAAAGUCUCCUUACACUGCAAAGAAUCUGUGUGGUUAUACCGUGUCUGCGAUCACAGUGAAAUACAACUAGAUAUUAAAAGCAAAAGAAUAGCUCAGAAAUUCUGUUUGGAAGCUAAAUAGCAUGUUUAAAAUAGAAACAAUAAAAGAAAUCAGAAAAAUCAAGGAUGGCAUGAUUUUGAGGAUGCUACAUGCCCAAAUGUGUGGCACACAGAGAGAGGGAAAUCUAUGCCUUUAAAUCUAUUUAUCAGGAAACAAGAAGGGUUGAAAACAAACCAGCUAGGUGUUUGCUCCUAGAAACUGGAAAAAGAGCUACAGAGCAAACCUAAAGGAACAAGAAAGAUGACAGGAAUAAGGACAAGGGCAGGCACAAAUAAAUAGAGAUUAGCAAAGGUGCAGACAGGUUUUUUGGAAAGAUUAACAACGACAGAGGGAGGGCCACGAGAUGAUGCUGUCAGGAGGGCGUGCAGGACACAGGAUGCUUUGGGCUGUAGGUGUGGGGAAAAGGCAACCAGGUUUUUCCAUGCAUCUCACAGGACUGGUUUGCCUGGGACAGCCCUGGUUUCUGCCUGUUGUCCUGGCUAUCACUCAUGGCAUCUCCCAUCCCCUCAAAGGGUCCUGCUUUGGAAGGUAACUGACACCAGUGCUGUCCAAUAGGAACUGAGACCCUUAUGUAACUACUGAGAUGUGUGGUUGGUGCAAAUUCACAUCAGAUUUUGAAGACUUAGUAUGAGAACAAGAAAGUAAAACAUCUCAUACAUACGUGUGUGUGUGUGUGUGUGCGUGUAUGUUUUAUUUUUAUUUUUAUUUUUUUGAGAUGGAGUCUCGCUCUGUCACGCAGGCUGGAGUGCAAUGGCACGAUCUCAGCUCACUGCAACCUCCUACUCCCGGGUUCAAAUGAUUCUCCUGCCUCACCCUCCCGAGUAGCUGGGAUUACAGGUGCCACCACCACGCCCAGCUAAUUUUUGUAUUUUUAGUAGAGAUGGGGUUUUGCCAUGUUGGCCAGGCUGGUCUGGAACUCCUGACCUCAAGUGAUCCAACUGCCUCGGCCUCCCAAAAUGCUGGGAUUACAGGUGUGAGCCACCACACCUGGCCUCAUUAAUAUUUUUUAUAUUGAUUACAAGUUCAAUAAUAUUUUAGAUCUAUUGAAUUAAGAAUUAAUACAUCACUAAAAUUAUUUCCACCUGGUUCUUUGAUGUGAUUACUAGAAAAUAAAACAUUACUUCUGUGGCUUGCAUUCUA
Molecule: long non-coding RNA, 2076 nt
Organism: Homo sapiens (human)
Lineage: Eukaryota; Metazoa; Chordata; Mammalia; Primates; Hominidae
Exons: 3
Source: RefSeq, a predicted model, not a curated record